Molecule: unclassified non-coding RNA, 352 nt
Filed under: Hevea brasiliensis (rubber tree)
Lineage: Eukaryota; Viridiplantae; Streptophyta; Magnoliopsida; Malpighiales; Euphorbiaceae
Source: RNAcentral
ACAAACCCAUCUUUCUUUAGUUUUCUGUUCCUCCAUGGAACUACCUGCUUCAAUCCUUCAUAAAUUGUAGCCUGCAAGAUGUCAAAAAAACUCAAAAAAAUUUCUUCAGCGGUGAUGAUCAAAUGGUUAGAAAAUGAAUAGUUUUUCUUAACGACACUUGAACUUCAACAGCUUAAUCCAAUCAUCUUUAAACUUUCUCUAUCUGCCAUAGCACAAUCAUUUUUAUUUUUUGCUUGCAUCUGCUACUUGGUAAUUUCUCAGUUGUUCAUUUGUUGCCCAAAAACACUAUUCACCAGCACAAUUAAAGGCUUUCUUUCACAGCAGUUAAGGCUAUAUAAGUUUUUUGUUCUUU